This 1385-nucleotide ribosomal RNA is filed under the name metagenome. RNAcentral's name for it is "bacterial SSU rRNA". It matches the Rfam family "Bacterial small subunit ribosomal RNA". The record is from RNAcentral.
AGAGUUUGAUCCUGGCUCAGGAUGAACGCUAGCGACAGGCCUAACACAUGCAAGUCGAGGGGCAGCAUUUCUAGCUUGCUAGAAGAUGGCGACCGGCGCACGGGUGAGUAACGCGUAUGCAACCUACCUUAUACUGGGGGAUAGCCCAAAGAAAUUUGGAUUAAUACCGCAUAACAUAUUUGAAUCGCAUGGUUUAGAUAUUAAAACUCCGGUGGUAUAAGAUGGGCAUGCGUAGCAUUAGUUAGUUGGUGAGGUAACGGCUCACCAAGACUAUGAUGCUUAGGGGGUCUGAGAGGAUAGUCCCCCACACUGGUACUGAGACACGGACCAGACUCCUACGGGAGGCAGCAGUGAGGAAUAUUGGUCAAUGGACGAAAGUCUGAACCAGCCAUGUCGCGUGCAGGAUGACGGCCCUAUGGGUUGUAAACUGCUUUUUUUACAGGAAUAAUUGUCGAUACGUGUAUCGAUUUGAAUGUACUGUAUGAAUAAGGAUCGGCUAACUCCGUGCCAGCAGCCGCGGUAAUACGGAGGAUUCGAGCGUUAUCCGGAUUUAUUGGGUUUAAAGGGUCCGUAGGCGGUUCUUUAAGUCAGUGGUGAAAUCCCAGAGCUCAACUCUGGAACUGCCAUUGAAACUGAAGAACUUGAAUAUGGUUGAGGUAGGCGGAAUACGUUAUGUAGCGGUGAAAUGCAUAGAUAUAACGUAGAACACCAAUUGCGAAGGCAGCUUACUAAACCAUUAUUGACGCUGAUGGACGAAAAGCGUGGGAAGCGAACAGGAUUAGAUACCCUGGUAGUCCACGCCGUAAACGAUGAUUACUCGUUGUGCACAAUACAUCGUGCGUGACUGAGCGAAAGCAUUAAGUAAUCCACCUGGGGAGUACGUUCGCAGGAAUGAAACUCAAAGGAAUUGACGGGGGCCCGCACAAGCGGAGGAACAUGUGGUUUAAUUCGAUGAUACGCGAGGAACCUUACCUGGACUUAAAUGUAGAUUGACCGGUUUAGAAAUAGAUCUUUCCUUCGGGACAAUUUACAAGGUGCUGCAUGGUUGUCGUCAGCUCGUGCCGUGAGGUGUCGGGUUAAGUCCCAUAACGAGCGCAACCCCUAUCGUUAGUUGCUAGCAGGUAAUGCUGAGGACUCUAGCGAGACUGCCACCGUAAGGUGAGAGGAAGGUGGGGAUGACGUCAGAUCAGCACGGCCCUUACGUCCAGGGCUACACACGUGUUACAAUGGCCAGUACAAAGGGCAGCUACCUGGUGACAGGAUGCUAAUCUCAAAAGCUGGUCUCAGUUCGGAUCGGAGUCUGCAGCUCGACUCCGUGAAGUUGGAUUCGCUAGUAAUCGUAUAUCAGCAAUGAUACGGUGAAUACGUUCCCGGGCCUUGUACAC